ACAAUUGAAUUACUCCGAAGCUGAGUUACCUAAAGCAUCUGCAAUGGUGACCAGACAAGUGUCAUAGGCACUCGGGUAUUAUGGGAAACUGUAAUAUCUCCUGUUGGAAAGGAGUCUGUCGACAGGUGGA
RNAcentral lists this non-coding RNA (130 nucleotides) under Desulfosporosinus meridiei. Its description in RNAcentral is "MoCo sequence". It matches the Rfam family "Molybdenum/Tungsten riboswitch aptamer (Moco RNA motif)". The record is from RNAcentral. Lineage: Bacteria; Bacillati; Bacillota; Clostridia; Eubacteriales; Desulfitobacteriaceae.